This 253-nucleotide ribosomal RNA is filed under the name uncultured Coprococcus sp. RNAcentral describes it as "partial 16S ribosomal RNA". It matches the Rfam family "Bacterial small subunit ribosomal RNA", at positions 524 to 776 of the family's 1533-position model. The record is from RNAcentral. Lineage: Bacteria; Bacillati; Bacillota; Clostridia; Lachnospirales; Lachnospiraceae.
UACGUAGGGGGCAAGCGUUAUCCGGAUUUACUGGGUGUAAAGGGAGCGUAGACGGCGGGGCAAGUCUGGAGUGAAAGCCCGGGGCUCAACUCCGGGACUGCUUUUGAAACUGUUGAACUAGAUUGCAGGAGAGGUAAGUGGAAUUCCUAGUGUAGCGGUGAAAUGCGUAGAUAUUAGGAGGAACACCAGUGGCGAAGGCAGCAUGCCGGCUCCACACUGACGCUGAGGCACGAAAGCGUGGGUAUCGAACAGG